AUGAGUCGAGUGAACAAGGCCUCCUCUCUAAAAGUAGUUCCGGAGGAGAAGGCUCAGGUGAAAAUGUUGGUGGAGCGAGUAGUUCAGUUGAUUCGUGACGGCGUGACCGGCAUGGACCUUCUGGAGGUUUUCCUUCAGCGGUGCAUCCAACCACUCCAGUACCGGGGCCACUCGAUGUGGCUGUAUUCUGGUACUGAAGACACCAGUCGGGUCCGCCUAGAGGAGGUCGACGAUGCUACAUUGGAGAGGUGGAUGACUACCAUCACGGGGAACAAGGACAACCCUCGUGGAGCUAGGAGGAUCGUUCCACUCGACCAAUCUUAUGAGGUGGAUAAGGUACAACUAUUUUCCUCCGACUGCUCCAUCUAUUCUGUUUCGUCGUAA
This 384-nucleotide ribosomal RNA is filed under the name Triticum aestivum (bread wheat). RNAcentral describes it as "partial small subunit ribosomal RNA". The record is from RNAcentral. Lineage: Eukaryota; Viridiplantae; Streptophyta; Magnoliopsida; Poales; Poaceae.